RNAcentral lists this ribosomal RNA (253 nucleotides) under uncultured bacterium. Its description in RNAcentral is "partial 16S ribosomal RNA". It matches the Rfam family "Bacterial small subunit ribosomal RNA", at positions 524 to 776 of the family's 1533-position model. The record is from RNAcentral.
GACAGAGGGUGCAAACGUUGUUCGGAAUUACUGGGCGUAAAGCGUGUGUAGGCGGCUACAUAAGUCGGAUGUGAAAGCCCCGGGCUCAACCCGGGAAGUGCACUCGAUACUGCGUAGCUUGAGUCUCGGAGAGGUUGGUGGAAUUCUCGGUGUAGAGGUGAAAUUCGUAGAUAUCGAGAGGAACACCGGUGGCGAAGGCGGGUCUCUGGGCAGUAACUGACGCUGAGGAGCGAAAGCGUGGGGAGCGAACAGG